This 377-nucleotide ribosomal RNA is filed under the name uncultured eukaryote. RNAcentral's name for it is "partial 18S ribosomal RNA". It matches the Rfam family "Eukaryotic small subunit ribosomal RNA", at positions 592 to 976 of the family's 1831-position model. The record is from RNAcentral.
CAAUAGCGUAUAUUAAAGUUGUUGCAGUUAAAAAGCUCGUAGUUGGAUUUCGGGGUGGCCUGGCUGGUCAGCCGCAAGGUGAGUACUGGUCAGCCGCCCUUCCUCUCGAAAGCCCCGACUGCUCUUUACUGCAGUGGUCGGGUAGUUCGGGACGUUUACUUUGAAAAAAUUAGAGUGUUCAAGGCAGGCUAUCGCCUGAAUACAUUAGCAUGGAAUAAUGGAAGAGGACCUCGGUCCUAUUUUGUUGGUUUCUAGGGCCGAAGUAAUGAUUAAGAGGGACAGUUGGGGGCAUUCGUAUUUAAUUGUCAGAGGUGAAAUUCUUGGAUUUAUGAAAGACGAACUAGUGCGAAAGCAUUUGCCAAGGAUGUUUUCAUUAA